This is a non-coding RNA of Clathrus columnatus, 93 nucleotides long. The record is from the annotation of a GenBank genome assembly. NCBI's taxonomy places the organism in Eukaryota, Fungi, Basidiomycota, Agaricomycetes, Phallales, Clathraceae.
GGCAAGAUGGCCGAGUGGUCCAAGGCGCCAGACUUAGGUCAACACCAAAAUCUGGUCUCAUUUGAGGCGUGAGUUCGAACCUCACUCUUGUCA